This 433-nucleotide ribosomal RNA is filed under the name uncultured bacterium. Its description in RNAcentral is "partial 16S ribosomal RNA". It matches the Rfam family "Bacterial small subunit ribosomal RNA", at positions 29 to 507 of the family's 1533-position model. The record is from RNAcentral.
AACGAACGCUGGCGGCAGGCUUAACACAUGCAAGUCGAACGCACCUUUCGGGGUUAGUGGCCGACGGGUGAGUAACGCGUGGGAAUCUACCCUUCUCUACGGGAUAGCUCCCGGAAACUGGAAUUAAUACCGUAUACGUCCUGAGGGAGAAAGAUUUAUCGGGGAAGGAUGGGCCCGCGUUGGUUUAGCUGGUUGGUGGGGUAAAGGCCUACCAAGGCGAGGAUCCAGAGCUGGUCUAAGAGGAGGAUCAGCCACAUUGGGACUGAGGCACGGCCCAAAAUGCGACGGAGGGGAGGAGUGGGGAAUAUUGGAGAAUGGGGGCAAGUGUGAUAAAGCCGUGCCGCGUGAGUGAGGAAGGGCCUAGGGUUGUAAAGCUCUUUGAGUGGGGACGUUAAUGACGGUACCCACAGAAGAAGCCCCGGCUAACUUCGUG